AUUUUGUACGACUUUCUUCAUUCAGAGCCAUCCCCCAGCACUAAACUUUCUCUGGUGGCCACUGGGACAGUGCUGCCUUGCAUGAGGACCCUGCUGUUCCAGUACCUACAGGUCAAAUGAAAUCAAGGCUUUGACUUGGGUCCCCUUAGGCUGCACUUGCAGGAG
This 165-nucleotide long non-coding RNA is filed under the name Anas platyrhynchos platyrhynchos (common mallard). RNAcentral's name for it is "lncRNA (ENSAPLG00000030019.1)". Lineage: Eukaryota; Metazoa; Chordata; Aves; Anseriformes; Anatidae. The record is from RNAcentral.